UGAGUGUAAGGAAAGCGCUAUAUAAAUGCAAGCCAUUGUUAUUAUUAUUAUUAAAACACUGGAUCAUAUAUCAGAACUAUGGUUAACUAUGCAGCAAACUAAAGGGUUAAAGGUUUUCCUUUUUUCCCUGUGGGAAGGAGGAGUGUCUAUGGACUUUUUAAAAUUUUCAAAACCAUGCUCUUGGCUAUAAUUGUUUACUCCAGAUCUGCCAAGGGUCAACCCAAUUUUAUUUAUGUUUUUGCAACAAAAAGGUUCAACAUACAGCUGUAUUAUAGUGGACACUAAAUCAUAAGUCAUAAGGUUGUCAGAUCAGUUUGAAUCCCCAGGGGUUAUUAAUCUCCCUACAGUGAGCGAGAGAGGGAGUUUUUUCUUGACACUGGAGAUGGUGGAGUAGCCCUCCCUGCCCAUGGUGCCAGAUGAUCGUGCGGAUCGCUGCUGUUUGCGUUAGCGGUGAUGCAUCUUAGAGGGGAGCGCGGUCUAAUCUUCUGCAGUGUAAACACCGCCCUGGAAGGUACUGGAACGUAUCCGCCGUUUGAGCUGUGUGGGGUCAGGGAGAGGCCACGGCAGGUGGUGUAUAUCAGCGUGGAGUUGACGUGUUUCCACUAACUUAUCCAAACAGGAGACGAGCCGUGCGCUGGGGUGGCUGGCGCGGCCACAAGAGGAGGAGGAGGAACCCUCUCUCCCUUCUGCUGUUCUUUCGCUUUUAUCCCCAGUGAAUAACAGCCUCCUGACACUGAAUCCCACGUCAGAAGUUACUGUUGCGUUUCCAGGCCCCUUGAUCCCAACUCCUCGGCAGGGCAGCAAAGCGCUGUUCUCAAAUCACUGGAGCGAGAGCGGUGAGGGUUCACAUCGCCACGGACCCGACGAGACACAAGGGGCCCGACAUGCGAGGGGAAGUGCUUUUCAGCUCUGCAGGUGUAAUGAAGCUGAAGAAUCGACUGUGUGGAAGAGGGGCAGUGAGACGGAAGACAGACCCUUGGAGGACUGCUAAAAGCCUGCCUUCGCUCUCUCCUCCACCCCCUCACCUCUCCCAAGCACAGGAGGACAACGCUGAGGGAUCACAGUCAGUUUUUCUAUAAACAAAAUGGGUCGACUUCAGAAUCAGUGGUAGGUACCAGCGUACCAUAGAUUUGUCUCACUCUAUUUGCACCACUAGCCACCAUCUUUUGAUGUUUAAAAUCACCACUGUCCUGCUUCAGGCUGUCUUUAUUAUCUGACUUUGCUAUGUUUCCACAAUAUCAGGUAGGUAUUUUUCAUCAUCCCGCUCCAUUACUACUAAGAGUAGGUUAUAACAAAAAACCAUGGCAACACAGAAAGAAAUGAAGCCAGAAGUCAAAAGGAAUUGCUCAUUCCCAGUUACAGUACUGCAUUAUUCAUAUUUUAUUAAUCUUUAAGUCCCUUUUAAUUUGAACAUUGUAAAUGUUAUGUGUGAUUCUGCUUCAUUGGGGGUGGGGGUGAAGUAUAAUAAUACUGUGCAUCAGUGAUUUUGUGUAUGCACUUACGGGCUCAUUUCAUGCAACCCCUUCAAUGAUGGUGAAAUAUUAUCAUUACAGAAGUACAAAGGGCUGCACAUGUGUAUAGUUCAUAGCCCACACAUGAAAACCUCCCUGGAGGGUAAAUAUUGCAUUUGCAUUGAAGAGAUGAACUGAUUAAUACGUCUGCCGGCUGUCUGGAAACGUUGGCACAUGAAGUGAACCAGUCAGUCUGAAGUUGCCAUUAUAUUUUCCCCCAUGAAGUGAAAAAGCACUCCCCUGUCUCUCAGGAGGGGUGGACGUGUUUAUCAAAAAAGGUGGACCUACACAUGUCUGUUUACAUCUACCACAUGGCAUACAUGAUAAGGCCUCUUCCAGAGGCUCGGCCCACCUCCCUCUCUAGAUACAUGCUUAGCUCAUAUUCUAUGGUACAGUACUGUAUGUGACGUGUGUGAGGUGCCCUAUUGCAUGCUGGGACAGUGCAGUGUGAACUUUAACAUGCAUGUUGGUCACAGCUUGUGACCAGUUUUCCUUGCUGUGUAUCUGUGAGUGAGGCCCCUGGCCUUCAAGCUCUCCUGAAGCUGGAGAUAAAGCCAAAGUGACAGCCUGGCCCUUUUAAGGAAGAGAAACGAAGGCACUGGCGAUCUGCUUUUCUCUACUCGCUGCCCCUCCAAAAUCUCCUGUCUUUCCUUCUCUCUGUUCUGCUUCACGGCUAUUCCUGGUCAGCAACCUUCCAUUUUCCAUGAGGUCAGAAGGAGUGAAACUAACUAUGCAAAGGGAUUGCCUUCGUCCUUGAUAUAUCAUAGCAGAGAGGCCUUCCAUUAUAGUGAAGACAGGAUGGUUUACACUGGCAGGAAAAGCGGUGAUAAUAUUUUACAACAAAAUGCUUGUGUCCAAACUGUAUUUGCUGCUCUGCUUCAUGGUGGAAUUUUGGAAUGUUUUCUACAUCAGUAGUCAUGCUGGCUGCUAUGGUUUGCAUUUGCAUCGUUUCCACAAAAAUCCUGCAGUAUUAAUUUGCAGUUUGUCACCCAAAGCUGUGUUCUGGCAGUAAUCAAAAGGUUCCCGUAAGAUGCCUGUGGUGUUGCAUUUUGCUUGGUAUUAAAAGAUAAAAUCAUGAUUUUAGGACUGUAUUUUUACAAUGAAGCAAUCUUUUCAGUCUCAACAGACUAGUGGGUUCUCAGAAACAAGGCUCGUUGUGUUGUCCUGAGAGUAAGCACUGUUGGAGAAGUCCAACAGCUCUCUGGCUCUGACUUAGGGCACAUACAAAUAGAUAACCAUCUGAACAUCCUAAAAGAAACCUUUAAAAAAAACAGUGAAGCACUGUUGCUGAGGCUGACAUCUCAAAUGCCUGGUUCAGUAGCCCCAAUGAUGGGGGAGUCCCAGUGUACAUGAGCUGUCAGCCUGUCAACAUUUUAAAGGAACCCUGAUUUCAGCCAUGUAAAGAAGACUCUUUUGUAAACAUGUUCAGAAUUGCCAUUAGGAAAUGGCUACAUGCCUACUCUCAGUUUACAUGCAUAGAUAGAAGAUACAAGCCCAAACAAAUCUGUUUUAUAAGGUACAGAGAAACCACACAGCUUCACUCUCUUCUGUAUUGAAAGUCAUGCCUUUGAUGUGCAUCCACCGGUAUGCAUUGUCUCCCUCUCCCACUCUGCCCCCCCCCCCUCUCUCUGCCUCACAUCAACUCAUCAUAAAUCUGUCUGAAUACAAAACAUAACAUGGAAAGAUGUGAUGUAAUCAGAAAGUUUGCAACGUAAAAGUGGAGCACUUGACUACAGCAUAUUUGAGCCCUUCAUGAAUAGAUGAGGCGAGAUCUUAUUGCCCUGCUCCCCUGGUGUCAGACCACCAGUGUUUUUCUCCUCUUUUGGGAUCCGUUCAGUGGUGAGGGUCAGAAGGGAAUGAUGGUCAGAGGUGAUGGCUGUAUUUGUAGGAUUUGCUUGGAUGUCACAGAUCAGAUUUCUCCUUAGAAGGGUAUGAAAAAUAUAGUGGUUAAAUCCCCAAAAUAGACUCCAGUAAGCAGGUUGACACGUUCCCAACCCCGAAGCCCUUCAGUUAAUCUUGUUUUAUCAUUUUAUCUUUCUGUUUGUACCUCUCUUUGGUUUCAUCUCUUUUUCUUUUGGCAAACAUUGAUAUCAUAACUCUCCCGUGAAAGAAAACAGAAAGGUACAGAACACAUUUCCAUAAACGAAGCAUUACGAAGCUGCAAUGACCAAAUGCCAUUCUUUUCCUAAUGCUCUGUAAAAUAAACAACAAUACUGUUUUCAUCUGAGCAACGAAAGAGACCAUAAAAGGCCUCGAUUGAUGGAGUGUGUGUGUGUGUGUGUGUGUGUGUGUGUGUGUGUGUGUGUGUGUGUACUGUAUAUGCGUGCGUGCGUGCAUGCGUGCACGUGCGUGUGUGUGUGUGUGUAUGUGUGUACUGUAUAUGUGUGCUUGCGUGCAUGUGAAUGUGUGUGUGUGCAUAAUUCAUUGCUCUGGGGAGUGUGAUGCAUUUCCGUGUGCACCUGCUCAUUGUAACUCAUGGACCCUAACCACCCUCCAGCUCCAUACUCACACCACGCCCUCACACACAAACAUGCUGCUCUUACAAAGGUCAGUCCCUCCACAGCAGCCAUAUGAAAAUAAAGUUCUAAAAAAUAAUGAAAAGAGAAGCCUUUGCUUAUUACCGAGAACUUUCUUAAGAAAAAACAAACUAGUCAAGCUUCACUCAAUUUUUUUGUGUGACUGCAUGAUUAAUUAACGCAUCUAACUGAAGUAUGGUAUGUGAAAUGAAUCCUGGGAUGUCACUAGAUAAAUUUGUAAAUUUUGAGGCCUGGUCUCGCAGGACUGUGAGGACUACAGCCACCAGGAAAGAGUUAAAAUGUUCAGGUCUAUUGGUUGGUCAUGCCUGGCUUUUCAGAUCACCAAAGUGACUCCUGAACUAUUCUCAGCAGGUUCAAGUGGACACAGUAAGCUGUGGAACAUCUCAAUAGCAGGCAUGCGAGUGAGUGAACACGGCCCAUUAUGUGCCUGGCAGAGAGAGCCUGCGCACAACCAGAGAAAUUACCUUAAAAGGAACUGCCAUUGUUGCUUUAUUAUAAACACAGUUAAGGCACCUACCCUCCCCUCAGUAGGCCUCCUUUGAAUAACAGCUCACAGGGACAGUCUGUCUCACUACCGAUGUUGACAAUGGUAAAUGAGGUGGCUGGCUGCUGACAUAAAGGACUUCCAAUAUGUUUAAUUAUUUCUUCAUGUCUCCUCCACCCACAGUGAAUGCCAUAUUGUCAAAUCACUGAGGUCAAAGGGCAGACAGUGUGUGUGUGUGUGUGUGUGCGUGUGCAUAUUGGUGGUAAUGGUGGGGGGGGGGGGGGUCUCAUACUCAUUUGUUUCAUUCAUUUCACACCCGGAGGCAGAUGAUCACUUCCACUGGCUGUGGCACUCUCCUUGAUCAGACCCGUGUUACAUUAUUCUAUUCUGUUUCAUCCCUGUCGGUAAAUGAAAAUACCAGACCUCUGCAGUACCCAGUGGGAUCUCCCUGUAAGCUUACAUGAGUUCAUAAAAUUAAAUGGAAUUCUAGCCAAUUCAAAGGAUAUUCUUCAAAUAUUAUGACUGGGAAAAUUGUUUCUAUUGACCUGAUUUUUUCAACACAUAGCCACAAACAUAGACACAAACCCCAUCAUCCAGUAGCUCCCACAAACAUGUAAGAUUAAUUGGAACUUUUCCCCUGUGAUUCAUUCAUGUUUACUAGAAACUUACCUGUGAGUGAUCCUUCCAUUUCAUUCAGUGCCAAAGCAUAAAUAUCAAAGCUGACAAAAACAAAAGUUGUGAAAAAUUCCCUGAAAAAUAAUAACAUGAUCUAUUAAAUAUAGAAGUAGGUUUUUCUGCUUAUUUUCAGGGGAAAAGUCAGUAUAGGUUAUGGAAGAAGUGAAUGUGACCACAUAACAUUUUAAAUAUUUACGUCAAUGCUUUUAUCCAGACAUGGAAUUGCUAUAGAAAUUAUUUAAUAUUUCAUUCCUUACUAAAAAAGAAGAAAAACAAUCUGGAGGACUGGAAACAGGAAAGAAAUGGGAAGAAGCCAAAUUAAAAGCCAAAAGAGGAAGCUUGCUUAUGCGUCUACAGUAGAAAGCCUUGGCAUUUUUAGUUCACAUUAAAGAGAAAAGUCUUGUGUGCCUCAUUUUCAACAGUAAGUUGGAUGUUGUGAAAUAAGGAUGGAGGCUGAGGCUAAGCCUCCAUCCUUUACCAUCCCAGAGUUCAUGCACCUCUGGACCUGUCCUGAGCAUUUUCUCUGAUUUAAUUCUUAGAGCUCACAAUCUGUACAGAAAAGUGUCCCUCCUAAUCUUCACAACAAGGUUACGCCCUUGAUUUUCCCUGUUUAAUCUUCAAAUGUGGGUGUCAUACAGACAGAAAAUGCAAUCAGAAGCUUCUAUUGGAUCACUAUAUUUAAUGGUAAUCGUAAGAAGGACAAUGGUUUUUUAAAAUUUACCCUAGGUGUCUUUCAAGAGUAUGAAAAAAUAACACAGUUAUUUUGCUGAAAUAAUCAGACCAAUAGUCACCACACCCAUAACCUCAUGCCAUAUUUUUUUAACCAUUAGUAAGGUAUCGUAACUUUCUGUCACAGAUUAAAUAAAUAUAUCCAUAGUUACAGUACGCAUCUCCAGAAUGCUUUGGUACAGUAAUUUCAAGGCAAUACUUUUUACUGGAGUAGAUAAGCAGCAUUGGUACACCUUUUUUCAUUCAAUGGAAGCAGGGCUGAGCAGGACAGGGACUGGGUCCAGGAUAGACUUUUUUAAAGUGACCUUAGAAUCUUGAUUUGUGACACUGUUGUUUUUACUGUCAAUGAAGAUUUAAUUCUACCAGUUUAUUUUAUGUUGUUUAUGUAAUGGUAACAACAGAGAAUUUCUCACUGUGUGAAACACUACUGGCACAGCCCUGUUAAUGGGUAAUAUAUUAAGAAUUUCUUUAAGGGCAUUGUCAAAACAACUGGGGCAGGUCUCUGGUCGGUUAUAUUAUAUGUUAGUUCAGUCAUGGCUGCUCCAGUGACAGCACCAUGCAGAAACAGGCAACUAAAAUUGCAAGUAAAAUGUCAUAAUUCUAUUGAGUGGGCAUUGAUAAAAGGAUAUUUAGCUUUUUUUGUCUAUGAAAUGCUGGCCUGACUAUAAUCAUUCCUUCACUCUUUGCAUCUGUCUUUUCAUUUCCUUGUUAUAAUGCCUUUGUGAGACAGUGUCACAGCCCCCGCCCCCCCCAAAAAAAACCCCAAAAAAACAAAAAACAACCAGCAUAUAAUUUGAUAUGAAUAAUAUUUCCCGGGGGGAAAUAUAUGUAUUUAUUAUGAUUAGAAUGAUAUUAAUUAACCACAAAAAUGUGAGAAUGGCAUGAAAAAAUUCAGGUCGGUCCUAUCCCCCACCACACUCUUGCAGACACGGGCUGAGACACAGUGUUCUGGUCACACCACAUAACCCCCCCCCCCC
This is a long non-coding RNA of Anguilla rostrata (American eel), 6913 nucleotides long. RefSeq lists it as uncharacterized. The record is from RefSeq and is a predicted model, not a curated record. Lineage: Eukaryota; Metazoa; Chordata; Actinopteri; Anguilliformes; Anguillidae. The transcript is spliced from 3 exons.